UGGAAGAUACUCCUACUACAAAUCAAAUAAACCCACCGAUAUCACGCUUGUUCGCUCUACUGAUGAUGCUAGCUUUCUGCGGGGAAUGUCGUGGUCGAUCGACGAUCAUGGCAAAAAUCAAGUCAUUGGGUGCCUUUCACGUGCUGGUCCCCAUUUUGUUUUCCUCUUGCUGUGACGCAUAUAUGAUACUAAAUUCCACUAUCUGCAGUUUGCCAGUUAGAAAGAACCUCCUGCAGUAGUCUGUAGUCGGUAAAGAGAAAACACCACUUUGUCUAUCUACUGUGCAUAGCUUUAUGAAGAGAAUCUAUCAGCAACUGAGGAUAAGUUUAUGAGUCCUAUGGUGCCUUUACACUGAUUUUGCCAUUUUACUAUUUUAGCUGCUAUGCACAUAUGACAUUCAUGUUGGUUCUUCUCAUAACACUAGGUGUCAAUAUGCUGUAGCUUUCCGUCUGUAUAUACUCGCUCUAUUUCACAUUUUGAAUUUUCUAGAAAAUUGCUUUUAUCAUGUCAUUUCAACUUUUUUUUAGAGAGUCAAAUCGUCUCAAGUUUGAUCAGAUUUAUAUAACAAAACAAUAGCAGUUAUGAUACCAAAUAAGUAUUAUUAGAUUCUUUAUUAAUUAUAUUCUUUUAUAGUAUACCUAUUUAAUGUUAUAAAUCUUUGCAAUUCUCUCUGUAGUUUCCAUCAAACUUGAGACAGUUUUGAACUCUCUAAUAAAGUUGGAAUGACUUGUAAUUUGAAGUGGAAGGAGUAUCUAAACAUAGCGUAUAUGUAAUGUAUAGUAAAAGUUAUAUAUCCAAAAAAAACUCAAAUCAUCUUUUGAUUUGAAAAUAUAGUGAGUAGUAACAUUUAUGCACGUACCUCGAGGGGAGGAAAAAAAACAGGGAAUACUGAAUUAACACAAGGGGCAAGCCCAUAGUAGCAGUUUAACUAAAGUGGCCGAGAUCAUUGUACAUACUGGAGGAA
Long non-coding RNA from Zea mays, 964 nucleotides. RefSeq lists it as uncharacterized. NCBI's taxonomy places the organism in Eukaryota, Viridiplantae, Streptophyta, Magnoliopsida, Poales, Poaceae. The record is from RefSeq and is a predicted model, not a curated record. The transcript has 2 exons.